AUCCCUCCAGCCGCCGCUGCCACAUUUCUCCUCCACCCCCUCGUCUCUCUCCUCUGGAACUCCCUCCUCUUCCGCGCGCCCAUCACCCAGCGCUCGCGCGCUCGCCUCCUGGACCAGCCGCCGUCGCGCCGCUGGGCCUCGUCCACCGCGGAUUUCCAUGGGGAAGGAGCAACGACGGGGCUAGGCUCCAGGCGGCGCACACUUCAUGGGGAGGCAAGGAACCAGGAGGUGAUGGGGUCAGAUCUGGCGGUGGUAAGUCGGAGCUCGAGCCAAGGCCGUGACGGGGAAGGUCAAAAAAUAGGGAGACCGGAUGGAGGUGCUUGAGGCGGAGGAAGGCCCGUCGGCAAGCUUGAGCUGGAGACGCACAAUUAGCGGCACCGGCCAUCGGAUGGUAGGAGCACGAGGCAGCGCUCCCGUCGCUGGGUGGUGGAGCUGCACAGGAGGGGGAGGAGGCUGGCGACAGGGAACCGGGCCGGGAGGAGGCAAGGUAUCUGUUGUCAUGUGUUUUUUUUUUUUUUUGCAUUUUUCUCCUACCGUGCAUCUAUUCAUUGUCGGAGUGGAUUCAUAGCAACAAAUUUUUGGAUAAAUAAUGAGUGCCAAGAUAUGUAUGUUGACAAAUGGAUGAGAGGUGUUCAGAGAAAGAUUUGAGCCAUACAUGCGCCAGGUUCUGAGAAUCUGUGAAUGUAAUUGGAAUAUUUUCAAUUGCAAAUCAUUCCCUAAUAUUAUGGUUAUAAGUCUUUUUUUCGUCCUGAUGUUCUCAAUAUUUCUAGAUAACCAUGUUUUGUUGGACUUAUUGAUAAAGUAAAUUUUCUGGUACAAGUUUGGCUCCAAGGAAAGUUAUUGUAUUUACUAAUAUUUUUUUAAUUUAACACCAUGACUAUGCCUCGAUAUUACAAUUGUCGUAAUGGUGUGGAUUGCUAUAUAAAGUUCUAUGUUUGAAGGGAUGUGUUGUCAGAAAUUCUCAUACACGAUUCUUUAGUAGGAAGGGAAUUUCAGUCCUUCAAAAGUGAAGAUGAUCAUGCCUUUCUGUUGGAUUUGGUUUUUUGGUUUAAGCAAUCAUUCAGGUUAUUGAAACACCCGUGUGCCUCUUUUCUUGUCUGAUAUGAGGAAAAUGGUUUAGAGUAAUUACCGGCAGGAGGAUCGCUGGGUGGUAGCUGAGUGGGAGGGUUCAGAUUAGGGAUUACGAGUAUGAAGUAGAUGUGAUAGAUUGUAACUCUUCUCGCUUGAUUAAUUCAUCUCAAGAGGUCCACUUUAUAUAUAGAGGCCUAACAAUUAAAAAAUUAAUCAUCCUUACAUGCAUACAUGCAUGCGUCACUCUGGAGCCAAAAACUAAUUACGAGUAUGCAGGUUGCAGUCCCUUGCUCUACAUAUAACUCGCCAACUCUACUAAUUCAUGUAUCAGUAUAUGCAUAUAUGUAGUCCGUUCCCAGUACAUGUGUUCGGAAGACUGGACAUUUGUACUUAUUCAAAAUUUUCUUUUCAUAAAAGUUCCUUGGAAGAGAUUGCUAAGUUUAACGAGCAAUGUCCCUUUUACAUCUAUUUACAGAGUGUUUUCUUUUGGUUUCACCACAUUUUUAGGUUUUUACAGGUUGUGUAUAGUAGAGGAGGCAUUGAGGAUGAAACAUGAAUGUCCAUUGUUCUUGUCCGCUCCUGAUCUCAGUAGACCUGUGUGAUGUGCUCUUGAUCCUUUCUUCUUUUUUUUGUUAAAUGAAUCUCUGACCGAGGAGAGCAUGUUCUUUUAUUCGGUUGCAAUCGUGAAACUUUUUUUGGGUUUUCUUAUUGUACAGUACGAACCUUCCAAAUUAUUUGAUCCUGGAAAUAAGUUGCCAAUUUUCUGUGUGCAAUGAGCUGGGAGCCGGGGUCAGCCCUCUCACCACCAGUCGAACAUACAACUUCAGCCACCAUGUCGAGUGAUAUAAAAGUGUUCUCUGUUUCAUAGAGCAACGCCACGAGAAUGUGCCUCCUCUUUCUCCUGGUGCAUGUUGCUGCCCUCCUUUCCCCUCUGACUUGACUUGCUUUACAUUGUGUGAAGUUGUUUACUUUCAACUUUACAACGCUAUAUCAAGUUCGCAACUGUACUUGGCUACAACUAUAACAUGAUGCAUUUCUCUUCCAGUUUAUUGAAUAUAUUUUUAAGGAUUGAAUGUUCUAUCUGGUACUGUCCUAUCACUCAUUUAACUAUCUUAAUUUGUUCACAAAACUCCUUCUGUAGCUAAGAUUUCUUUGUACAACACAUACUAAUUAUUGCUCUUAUUCUUAAAUCUUAUUUCACUUUAUUCAGUUGUAGGCUGGGUUAAGAUUGUUUUUGUGCCAGAAACAGACUAGGCAAUGCUCUAACCUUGGCAGCAAAAAUCGUCUAAAUUUCAUAAAUAAGGUAGUGGAAUAUCUUUGAAUAUGUUCAUUUAAAUAUCUUGAGUUCACCUGUAUGGGUUGCUUCUGCGCACACUUUCUUUGAUACGAAUUUCUAGGUGAGAAAUUCUUUCAUGGUAAUGAUGUAUUAUCGAUAUUUACUAUGUUUCUUAGGCCUAUAGGUUUCUUUUUGUGGGAUGCAAUUACGGUACAAUAUGAAUAUGAUCCUUGAGUUGCAUAUUAUUGCCUUUGGACAUAGACAUGUGCCAUGUAGUAUAACAUUUAUAAAGAAUGUCUUGGAAAUUGCAAGUAGAUGAUUACGGUUACCCUGUAACCUUAGGAGUAAGAUAUAUAUGAUGAUAGAAUCUAGAGAUUCUUGCUAAUCUAUAACAAUAAGAUCCAAUCACGUGCAAUAUGUUUUAUUCAUAAAAACAGGGAAUCAAUCUGGCUGAAAGUAGUCAUCUUAUGGCAUGGCGUGAAGAGGUUGUUCACAAACCUCUGUUAGGUGCUCCAUCCUUUGUCACUCUGAAUUGAUUUCCUAAUAUCUGGCUUCUCUGAACAGAUGUGUGCAGAUCUGAGAAAGAAGAGGAAUAAUCCAGAACAAUUUAGUGAAUAAGAACAAGUUGGCAUUUCUCUCUUGUGAACGCAGUCAUGCCUGCCUAUUGAUUUUAUUAUUUGUGCUAAUGCAAACAUGAAUUCUCUAUAGUUCUUGACGCAGCACCGCUAAUUACUCAAUCUGCAAUACAUGAUCAUUUCUGGUAGAAGUUUAGUGCAUGAAUUAGCAUUCUGUAAAGUUGGUCUAAGCUCAUGUCUCUAGGCCAGGAUAGAUUUCUCAAUAUCAUUUUUGGGAUUGUUUGAACACUGAGCAACAUUGCCAGGUCAACCAUUUCUCAUUUCUUUGUCAUAUCUGUAAAACAUUGACACACCAAGCUUACGGGUGGUGUCUCAAUUUUGUCACCAGCCACUUCCACCGACCCGUAAACUGUCUGUCUCGAGGUCUCCCCAACUAUGUUUGGGUUUAGAAAAACAAAGAACUAUUUUGAAGUCAUUUUCGCAUCAGCUACUUUGUAGGUAUUAUGUGCGUUGUCAGGGAUCUAAUAUCAUGUAGUUCCAGGGAUUUCAGAAGGUCUGGUCAGUCCAUUGUUCUUGCCAUGUGUUACUUUUUCUCAUUACUGUGAUCGUCAGUGCUCUUGACAUUGGUUACUUUUUCUCAUUACUGUGAUCGUCAGUGCUCUUGACAUCGGUUACUUUUUCUCAUUACUGUGAUCAUUUGUGCUCUUGACAUCGGUUGUUCUUGCUUUAUGGUUGCCUUCCCAGUGCACUUUUAUUAGUUGUAACAUAUUAAUGUUAAUAUGCUUGAUUGACCAUAUUAUAUAUUUCACUUCACCGGGGUGGUUGGUGGAAGUGGUGGUUAAAAUAUUUUGGUUAAAACAAUGUCUCUAAUUAACAAGUUUAUACAGUUGAAUCUUCUUGAUUGGCUAUUUUGUAGCUUGCUCUUAGUUGUAUAGUAUUAAUUCUUAAAACUGGAUCUCUUAAAAUUAGUUAAAUUGAAUGAGUUGCUUCACUGUUUUCAAAUAAGUAGUUUCAUCCCUCACUGUGUCCUGAACUUAUUCUUACUGCCUUUUAUGACUUAAAUGUAACUAUUGGCAUAUAAUCUCAUGGCUUAAAAUCUUAGUUGAGAAUGUAUUUAGAAGUUAUAAGAUCUGGAGUUUCCACUAUUUCAUCCAGCGGUAUUCCCAGUAACUGAAUAUUAAGAGCACUGACGAUCAUAGGUUGUACAUUUAGUUACCGGGAAAUGCUUUUAUCUUGCAGGCCAGUUUUACAUUUACUUUUUCAAUAAUGAGAUGACUAUGAACAGAGUAUCAAGUUUUUUGCCUUGGCAUUACUGCCGCUGUCUACGGAUGGUUACUAAAAGAAGAAGGAUUCAAGCGGCAUACCUUCACUUGACAGAUGCUUUAACCGCAAGAACUGUUGUUAUUUUCUUUUCCUUUCCUACUCCCUCCGUCCGAAAAUACUUGUCAUCAAAAUGGAUGAAAAGGGAUGUAUCUAGAACUAAAAUACGUCUAGAUACAUCUCCUUUUAUCCAUUUUGAUGACAAGUAUUUCCGGACGGAGGGAGUACAUUGAUUUCCUACAAUGAUGAUAGUUUGCCUUUGAUUCUAGAAGUCGCAAAGGGGACUGAAGGGUAGAGAUUUCCAUUGUCGUUGAAUUGGUGGGAUUGUCACCAACUUAGUGUUGCAGAUUGUUUCUAUUUUAGAGCAAGAAGCCAAAUCAUGUUGUUCAUUGUAAAUCUUGAAUAACUUGUUUACUGUCACUUCUAUAUCUAUUGUAAACUUUCGUUCCUGGUGUGGUACUUAUCAAUCUUGGUGUGCCCUUC
Molecule: long non-coding RNA, 4725 nt
Organism: Triticum dicoccoides
Lineage: Eukaryota; Viridiplantae; Streptophyta; Magnoliopsida; Poales; Poaceae
Exons: 2
Source: RefSeq, a predicted model, not a curated record